RNAcentral lists this ribosomal RNA (661 nucleotides) under uncultured Inocybaceae. RNAcentral's name for it is "eukaryotic LSU rRNA". The stretch from base 261 to 414 matches the Rfam family "5.8S ribosomal RNA". Lineage: Eukaryota; Fungi; Basidiomycota; Agaricomycetes; Agaricales. The record is from RNAcentral.
AUCAUUAUUGAAUAAACUUGAACAGGCUGUUGCUGGCCCUCCUUGGAGGGAUAUGUGCACGCUUGUCAUCUUUAUUUCUCCAACUGUGCACAUAAUUGUAGACCUUGAUAUUUGAUGGAUUUAUUUUCGAGUUGGGGACUGCUGUGCUUUCUCAAGUCCGCUUUCCCUUGGAUUUUUCAGGGCUAUGUCCUUUAUCACAAACCUCUGAAUCUGGUUAAAAUGGUUAAUCAAGGCAUUUUGUACCUAUAAAGUUAAUAUACAACUUUCAACAACGGAACUCUUGGCUCUCCCAUCCAUGAAAAACGCAACGAAAUGGCAUAAGUAAUGGGAAUUGCAAAAUUCCAUGAAUCCUCCAAUCCUUGAACGCCUCUUGGGCUCCCUGGUAUUCCCAAGAACAUGGCUGUUUGAAUGGCAUCCAAAUCCUCCAACCACAUUGAUUCCUUCCGUGUGGCUUUGGAAGUGGGGGUAAUGGUUGCAGGGUUUAUCUUAAGUCUGCUUCCCUGAAAUGGAUUAAUGGUAUCUGAACAGAAAGAACUACUACCGGUGUGAUAAUUUAUCUAUGCCUUAAUAUACUGGAUAAAACAGAUUACACUGCUUAUAACAAACUUUAUUUCCUUUUUUUGGAGACCUCCAAUCAGGUAAGACUACCCGCUGAACUUAA